Molecule: long non-coding RNA, 1650 nt
Organism: Vigna unguiculata (cowpea)
Lineage: Eukaryota; Viridiplantae; Streptophyta; Magnoliopsida; Fabales; Fabaceae
Source: RefSeq, a predicted model, not a curated record
CAAUAAAAUUGGAAGUGUGCGAAGUAGAAUGUGAGUUGCACACAGUAACAGCGAACAAACGAGUCCAAAACAAAAUAGGGGUGUGGUGUUGGUAAAUAUAGGGGUGCGCAGAAAAAAUAGUCAAACAGUCUAGCUCAAAUAAAAGGAGGUGCAGGCAUAAGAAGAAGGGGGUGUACGAAGUAAAGGGGAUGUGGCAUAUGAGACACCUAAACCCUAAUUGCUCAAAAGAAAGCCUCCUCUCCAUCUCUCUCGACACCAACACGCUGCCACUGGCCACGCCAGCGAGUGCCGCUGCCUACUUCACCGCGCUGCCCUCACCUCUGCUCCGCCACGCCGCCCCGCGACUGGUUGCCGGCGACGCUAAUCGACGCCGGAGGGUCGUCCUCCCUCUCGGCGGCUCAACCACCUUGCUUUCACUCAUGCACCGGAACGCAACUCCAAGAGAUCAACGCCGACGCAGCGCCUGCAACCCACCGUGAACGCCGCCACCGCCGCGACCGACGCGCGUCGCCUACGGCGCCCAUUUCCCCUUCUGCGCGAGGAUUUCUUCCCGGUCGAAGCUCCGCGCGUUCAUCCGCUGCCAGCCCGUCGCGAUCGCUUCGCGUCGCACCGCCUCGCCGCCACCGUCGAGGGAAACGUCGGCGCCGCUGAUGCGAACAGGGGGUGCGUCCUCUCCUCUAAUCUGCGAGGUCGAACAGAGGCCCACGGCGAUAAUGUUGGUGAGCGAAACUAGAGCCGCUGUCGUUAAAGCCCCGACUCGCCGGCGGCAGCGCCGCCGGCGAUCUUCUCUCUUCUCUGUUUCGAUUGGAAGUCUGUGAUCGGGGAAGAUUAAGACGGGGGUCUUUGGUGCUAUUACGGAUUUCGGUCUGGUGUGAUGUUGAGUCGCAGAGAUGGGGUUGUAACAAAGGUGGGAGACAAAGAUGAUGGCAAGUGAGUAAGCGGGUGAAGACGCGCUCUACAAAACCGUUUGUGAAGUAUGUUUGGGGUUCUGGUUUGGACCUCCUGCAGGUGGAUGAAUGAAGCACGAGCUUUUUGGUGUGUUGAUGAUGGGUGAGGGGGAUAGAGUUUGGGUUGCCGUUUUGGUUUGAUUGGUUGCGAGAAGAGAAGGAUGAAUUGGGGGUUAGAUGAUGGGUUGAGGAGCUUGUUCUGACUGGCUAUGUGCUGAUGAGUGGUGAGAUAGAUCUAUCUUUUCAGUUAUUUCGUGCAGGUCGGAUGAAUAGCGAUGAGCAAAUAGUAACGAAACGAGGACGACAACAUCUCAAACCAAUAAAACAUAACAAAUCCAGCAGAAUACAAGAUCAUAUUCAUUCAAGCAACCAACAUAACACAAGAUCAUAUUCAUUCCAAGGUUCACGUUCAAUUGGUGCUUACCUCUUGUAGUCUCCCUGUGUUUGUAGGGUGUGAUCAAUGGAGGCUCCCCUGUUCUCGUUCUUCAUUUCAGAUGAUUCCUUUCAGAUGCUCUCGUUCUUCCUUUCAGAUGAUUCCUUUCAGAUGCAAGGGUGCUCUCUUCUUUUUUGUUAUCUGUUAUGAAAUGCGAAACUGUGUAUCCUCUUCCCCGUUGCUCUCUUGCUCUUUGUGAUAUUGUAUCCUCUCUUCUUUUCAGAAUGGUUUGACCGUUCUUCUUCCCAUGCCAGUUUCCUCUUUCGCUCA